Molecule: ribosomal RNA, 688 nt
Filed under: uncultured bacterium
Lineage: Bacteria
Description: bacterial SSU rRNA
Rfam family: Bacterial small subunit ribosomal RNA
Source: RNAcentral
AAGUCGAACGAAGGCUUCGGCCUUAGUGGCGGACGGGUGAGUAACGCGUGAGAAUCUGGCCCUGGGAGGGGGACAACAGUUGGAAACGACUGCUAAUACCCCAUAGACCGCGAGGUAAAAAGAGAUUCGCCUGGGGAUGAGCUCGCGUCCGAUUAGCUAGUUGGUGAGGUAAGGGCUUACCAAGGCGACGAUCGGUAGCUGGUUUGAGAGGACAACCAGCCACACUGGGACUGAGACACGGCCCAGACUCCUACGGGAGGCAGCAGUGGGGAAUUUUCCGCAAUGGGGGGAACCCUGACGGAGCAACGCCGCGUGCGGGAGGAAGGCCUGUGGGUUGUAAACCGCUUUUCCUAGGGAAGAAGCAAUGACGGUACCUAGGGAAUAAGCCUCGGCUAACUCUGUGCCAGCAGCCGCGGUAAGACAGAGGAGGCAAGCGUUAUCCGGAAUUAUUGGGCGUAAAGCGUUCGUAGGUGGCCAGUCAAGUCUGAGGUUAAAGACCGGAGCCCAACUCCGGGAGAGCCUUGGAAACUGGGUGGCUAGAGGGUGGUAGAGGUAGCGGGAAUUCCCGGUGUAGCGGUGAAAUGCGUAGAUAUCGGGAAGAACACCAGCGGCGAAAGCGCGCUACUGGGCCAUUACUGACACUGAGGGACGAAAGCCAGGGGAGCGAAUGGGAUUAGAUACCCCAGUA